This is a non-coding RNA of Elaeis guineensis (African oil palm), 1146 nucleotides long. The record is from RefSeq and is a predicted model, not a curated record. NCBI's taxonomy places the organism in Eukaryota, Viridiplantae, Streptophyta, Magnoliopsida, Arecales, Arecaceae.
CCUGCUUCUUGCCAUCGCGAACACCCGCCCCCAACUCCACCGCCUCUCUCCAGCGUUCUCCUUUCUCUCUCCACCACCUCCAUCACCUCGUAUCUCUCUCUCUCUGGAGCAAGAAGAAAACAAGGGGAAGAGCAAAGAGGUUACUGCAGAGAAAAAUUUGGAGGAGGAGAUGAUGAGGGACACGCCAAUCUAUUGAAGCUGCUAUCAAGAAUGCAACAUAGUAGCGCAAUGCAAAAUGUCAGGGAGUAGAAGAUGAAGUGAAAAAGAUGGACUAAAGGGCAUGUCCAAAUUCUUUUUAAUACAUUCUACUACUGUGAGUGAAUCGCCUUCAAGGCAAACCUUUGUGUGUUUCAGAUGUCGGAUAGCCAAUAGAAAAUCUUCCCAAGCUGCUCGAAGUUCAGCUUGGAGUAUCGAAGUAGUUUGAAACUUUCUUGAUCCAGCAUAUAAUACAAGGCCUGUUUCAACCCUUACGAUAUAUAAAACCGACGCCAGCCUCCUCCCCUUUCAAUGAUGCAUCAAAAUUAACCUUUACGAAACCACAGGGUGGGGGUACCCAAGAAACAAACCUUGAUGGAGGUAGUAAUGAGCACCCCAAGCUGUCAGUAUCCCAGUGCCGUAAGUACGUUGAUAUAGCUGUAUAAAUCGAAUUUAAGACUCAGUAAUUUGCUGGGUUGGAUCAUAUAUAAAUAAGAUGCUCAGACGGACAUCCCAAGUUAUCCAAGACCAUGUUCGGUACUUAGACUAAUGAAAUUGAUAGCGUCCCGUCGUUACUUCGUUCCUAAGGAAGCCCAGACAAGGCAUUUAAUUUUAAGAAACAUCAAUAUCAUAAUGAAAAUGCUUUGAGACUCCCGUAAAUCAUAUAGAAAAAGUUCAUCAGGCCCACAAUCAUUGACAUGGCAACUUCACAACCAAUCAAUCUACCACCAAAUUUGGCAACAAAGUCCGGAGUUACAUCAAGCUUUCCGCCUGGCAAGUAGAUUGUUCAUGUACAGUUUAUAACAGCUGUACAGGUAUUACCAUUUGGCACACCAUGACAUAGUAAAGAGUUUGCUCAGGAUUGCCAACGAAGAAAUGAGAAAUUCGAGUCCAAUUAAAAGAUUCCCUAGAUAUUCAAGUGCGAACCCAAUUUAACUUAAAAAAGUUACA